CAGCCGCCGCGGGAAUACGUAGGUCCCGAGCGUUGUCCGGAUUUAUUGGGCGUAAAGGGAGCGCAGGCGGUUUAGUAAGUCUGAAGUUAAAGGCAUUGGCUCAACCAAUGUAUGCUUUGGAAACUGUUAGACUUGAGUGCAGAAGGGGAGAGCGGAAUUCCAUGUGUAGCGGUGAAAUGCGUAGAUAUAUGGAGGAACACCGGUGGCGAAAGCGGCUCUCUGGUCUGUCACUGACGCUGAGGCUCGAAAGCGUGGGUAGCGAACAGGAUUAGAUACCCCAGUAGUCCCUGUCUCUUAUACA
This 301-nucleotide ribosomal RNA is filed under the name uncultured bacterium. Its description in RNAcentral is "partial 16S ribosomal RNA". It matches the Rfam family "Bacterial small subunit ribosomal RNA", at positions 509 to 808 of the family's 1533-position model. The record is from RNAcentral.